Molecule: ribosomal RNA, 422 nt
Filed under: uncultured marine eukaryote
Lineage: Eukaryota
Description: bacterial SSU rRNA
Rfam family: Eukaryotic small subunit ribosomal RNA
Source: RNAcentral
GUUAAAAAGCUCGUAGUUGGAUUUCUGCGGGGGCGGGGCGGCCUGUUGCUUAUAGCAACUCGAGCUAGCACUUCCCCUGCAUCCUGCCGCGAACCGUGCUACCAUUAGUUUGGUGGCGCUGGGGAUCGGCUCGUUUACUUUGAGAAAAAUAGAGUGUUCAAAGCAGGCCACACGCCUUGAAUAAGUUAGCAUGGAAUAAUGAUAAAGGACUUCGGUUCUAUUUUGUUGGUGUUCGGGGCUGAAGUAAUGAUUGAUAGGGACAGUUGGGGCGGUCCGUAUUCCAAAGCGAGAGGUGAAAUUCUUAGACCUUCGGAAGACGAACAGCUGCGAAAACGUUCCGCAAGGAUGUUCCCUUUGAUCAAGAACGAAAGUUGGGGGAUCGAAGACGAUCAGAUACCGUCGUAAUCUCAACUAUAAACUAU